RNAcentral lists this ribosomal RNA (253 nucleotides) under uncultured bacterium. RNAcentral's name for it is "partial 16S ribosomal RNA". It matches the Rfam family "Bacterial small subunit ribosomal RNA", at positions 524 to 776 of the family's 1533-position model. The record is from RNAcentral.
UACGAAGGGUGCAAGCGUUAAUCGGAUUUACUGGGCGUAAAGCGCGCGUAGGUGGCCAAUUAAGUCAAAUGUGAAAUCCCCGAGCUUAACUUGGGAAUUGCAUUCGAUACUGGUUGGCUAGAGUAUGGGAGAGGAUGGUAGAAUUCCAGGUGUAGCGGUGAAAUGCGUAGAGAUCUGGAGGAAUACCGAUGGCGAAGGCAGCCAUCUGGCCUAAUACUGACACUGAGGUGCGAAAGCAUGGGGAGCAAACAGG